Molecule: ribosomal RNA, 198 nt
Filed under: uncultured bacterium
Lineage: Bacteria
Description: partial 16S ribosomal RNA
Rfam family: Bacterial small subunit ribosomal RNA
Source: RNAcentral
ACGCUCGACACCUACGGGGGCAGCAGUCGGGAAUAUUGCGCAAUGGAGGAAACUCUGACGCAGUGACGCCGCGUAUAGGAAGAAGGUUUUCGGAUUGUAAACUAUUGUCGUUAGGGAAGAAAAAGGACAGUACCUAAGGAGGAAGCUCCGGCUAACUACGUGCCAGCAGCCGCGGUAAUCUGAGCGGGCUGGCAAGGC